CCUACGGGUGGCAGCAGUGAGGAAUAUUGGGCAAUGGGCGCAAGCCUGACCCAGCAACGCCGCGUGCAGGAAGAAGGCUUUCGGGUUGGAAACUUCUUUUAUUGAGGACGAAACAAAUGACGGUACUCAAUGACUAAGCCACGGCUAACUACGUGCCAGCAGUCACGGUAAUACGUAGGUGGCAAGCGUUAGCCGGAUUUACUGGGUUUAAGGGGCGCGUAGGCGGGACUGUAAGUCAGAUGUGAAAACCCGGGGCUCAACCCAUGACUUGCAUUUGAUACUGUACUUCUUGAGUGAUGGAGCGGUAGGCGGAAUGUCUGGUGUAGCGGUGAAAUGCGUAGAGAUAAGACGGAACACCAGUGGCGAAGGCGGCCUGCCGGACAUCAACUGACGCUGAGGCGCGAAAGCGUGGGGAGCAAACAGGAUUAGAUACCCCAGUAGUC
This 443-nucleotide ribosomal RNA is filed under the name uncultured bacterium. RNAcentral's name for it is "partial 16S ribosomal RNA". It matches the Rfam family "Bacterial small subunit ribosomal RNA", at positions 338 to 795 of the family's 1533-position model. The record is from RNAcentral.